This 253-nucleotide ribosomal RNA is filed under the name uncultured Lachnospiraceae bacterium. Its description in RNAcentral is "partial 16S ribosomal RNA". It matches the Rfam family "Bacterial small subunit ribosomal RNA", at positions 524 to 776 of the family's 1533-position model. Lineage: Bacteria; Bacillati; Bacillota; Clostridia; Lachnospirales; Lachnospiraceae. The record is from RNAcentral.
UACGUAGGGGGCAAGCGUUAUCCGGAUUUACUGGGUGUAAAGGGGGCGCAGACGGCAAUGCAAGCCAGGAGUGAAAGCCCGGGGCUUAACCCCGGAACGGCUUUGGAAACUGGCCGGCUGGAGUGCUGGAGAGGCAGGCGGAAUUCCUGGUGUAGCGGUGAAAUGCGUAGAUAUCAGGAGGAACACCGGUGGCGAAGGCGGCCUGCUGGACAGUAACUGACGUUGAGGCUCGAAAGCGUGGGGAGCAAACAGG